CGUGACGGAUGCUCCACAGUCAGUCGAACGGCAGCACGGACUUCGGUCUGGUGGCGAGUGGCGAACGGGUGAGUAUGUAUCGGAACGUGCCCAGUAGCGGGGGAUAACUACGCGAAAGCGUAGCUAAUACCGCAUACGCCCUACGGGGGAAAGCAGGUGAUCGUCAAGACUUGCACUAUUGGAGCGGCCGAUAUCGGAUUAGCUAGUUGGUGGGGUAACGGCUCACCAAGGCGACGAUCCGUAGCUGGUCUGAGAGGAUGAUCAGCCACAUUGGGACUGAGACACGGCCCAAACUCCUACGGGAGGCAGCAGUGGGGAAUAUUGGACAAUGGGCGCAAGCCUGAUCCAGCCAUGCCGCGUGAGUGAUGAAGGCCCUAGGGUUGUAAAGCUCUUUUAACGGGGAAGAUAAUGACGGUACCCGUAGAAUAAGCCCCGGCUAACUUCGUGCCAGCAGCCGCGGUAAUACGAAGGGGGCUAGCGUUGCUCGGAAUCACUGGGCGUAAAGGGUGCGUAGGUGGAUUUUUAAGUCAGGCGUGAAAUCCUGGAGCUCAACUCCAGAACUGCCUUUGAUACUGGGAAUCUUGAGUUCGGGAGAGGUGAGUGGAA
RNAcentral lists this ribosomal RNA (606 nucleotides) under uncultured soil bacterium. Its description in RNAcentral is "bacterial SSU rRNA". It matches the Rfam family "Bacterial small subunit ribosomal RNA", at positions 38 to 666 of the family's 1533-position model. The record is from RNAcentral.